UACGGGGGGGGCAAGCGUUGUUCGGAAUUACUGGGCGUAAAGGGCUCGUAGGCGGCCAACUAAGUCAUACGUGAAAUCCCUCAGCUUAACUGGGGAACUGCGUGUGAUACUGGAUGGCUUGGAUUUGGGAGAGGGAUGCGGAAUUCCAGGUGUAGCGGUGAAAUGCGCAGAUAUCAGGAGGAACACCGGUGGCGAAGGCGGGUCUCUGGGCAACAACUGACGCUGAGGAGCGAAAGCGUGGGGAGCGAACAGG
RNAcentral lists this ribosomal RNA (253 nucleotides) under uncultured bacterium. RNAcentral describes it as "partial 16S ribosomal RNA". It matches the Rfam family "Bacterial small subunit ribosomal RNA", at positions 524 to 776 of the family's 1533-position model. The record is from RNAcentral.